This 467-nucleotide ribosomal RNA is filed under the name uncultured bacterium. RNAcentral's name for it is "partial 16S ribosomal RNA". It matches the Rfam family "Bacterial small subunit ribosomal RNA", at positions 28 to 507 of the family's 1533-position model. The record is from RNAcentral.
GAUGAACGCUGGCGGCGUGCUUAACACAUGCAAGUCGAACGGAAAGGCUCCUGCUUGCAGGGGUACUCGAGUGGCGAACGGGUGAGUAACACGUGGGUGAUCUGCCCUGCACUUCGGGAUAAGCCUGGGAAACUGGGUCUAAUACCGGAUAGGACCACAUUUUGGAUGGUGUGGUGGAAAGUUUUUCGGUGUGGGAUGAGCUCGCGGCCUAUCAGCUUGUUGGUGGGGUAAUGGCCUACCAAGGCGUCGACGGGUAGCCGGCCGGAGAGGGUGUACGGCCACAUUGGGACUGAGAUACGGCCCAGACUCCUACGGGAGGCAGCAGUGGGGAAUAUUGCACAAUGGGCGCAAGCCUGAUGCAGCGACGCCGCGUGGGGGAUGACGGCCUUCGGGUUGUAAACUCCUUUCGCUAGGGACGAAGCGUUUUUGUGACGGUACCUGGAGAAGAAGCACCGGCUAACUACGUG